UUGAGAAGAAGUCGGCUUUUGGCCCCAGUGAGGUGAGGCCGAGGGAGAAGUCUGCGGCGAGGACGGGAGCGGGUGGAGGGCGGACGCGGUGAGAGCGGGUGGACGCUGCUGCGAUAGCCCAGCGAGAGGCCGGCGGCAGCCUGGAGGUGGCGAGGCUGCUUGGGUUGGGCAGAUAUUCCAGAGGCAGGGCCCACGGGAUCUCCCGGUGGAGCAGGCUAGCAGCGGAAGAGGAAUAGGAGCUGGGCAUAACCUCGGCCUUUGAUCUGAGCACCUGGGAGCAUGGCCCUGAGGCCGCCCGCGAUGGGGAAGGGAACAGGGAGCGCCCUGGGGUGGGGCGCCCAGGAAUUCUGUCCGGGGCACGGUCGGCUGCGUUUUCGUGAGGAGGCCAGAAGAGCUGUCGCGGCGGCAAGACCCCAGCGUGGGCCCCGUGGGCAUCCCGCCGAGUUUGCAGGAAUGACACGUGUACAAGCCGGCGGGCGGCCGCUGCGAACCGGGUUCUGCGGUGAGCGGGGCGCCGGGGCUCGGCCUGGGGCCACCUCCGCCUGGGGACGUCGUGGAGAAGCCGGGCUCCAGGGCCCCAGCCCCGGCCGCCAGGCGCCAUCGCAGGCGGGGCAGGGAGCCGGGGGUCCCCGGCAGCGGCGCGCGGGCGUGGGCGGCCGCACCCACUCCGGCCCGGGCCGCACGGCCGCCCGCACUUGCCCUCUGGCGGCGGAAGCGCGCAGCGCGUGUCGAGCAGGGAACCUGGACCCGUUCAGCUUCCAUUUCAGCGUGCUGCUGUCUGGGUCUCCUUGGGCACCGCGACGAACAGCGCGAGGACAGGACCCAGCAGACCGUGGGGCGCGUCGGGCAGCGGUUCCCAGUGCAAGUGUCUUUUGCUGCUGACCGACCUCAGACCCGGCCCUCCUGGAGAUCUCCUCUCCCUCGGGAUCCCUGUGGCCUCCUACCCAGUUCCCACGUAGCCUGACCCACCAGGACCAGGUUGGGAGCUUUAUGAAUUUUAACACGUUAGGAUAGCCGUCACUACAACAGGAUACAAAAUGUUUCCAUCGCCCCAAAAAACUCCCUCCUGCUGGGGCUUUAUAGGCACAGCCCCCCGUCUGAGCCCCGGCAGCCACCGCUCUGCCCUCCGUCACCACAGCUCUACCUUUUGGAAUGUCGUACAAAUGGAACCAGACUGUGCGACCUUGGGGACCAGCUUCUUUCACUCAGCGCGAUGUCUUCGAGAUUCAUCUGGGUGGUUGUGUGAUCAAUAGUUUGUGUCUUUCCGCAACUCCCCAGUGUUUCCUGGUGUAGAUGGCCACAGUCUGUCUGCCCAUUCAUCCAUGAAAACAUAUUUGGGUUCUUUCCAGCUCUUACAAAUAAAGCUGCUGCCAGUAUUCACUACAAGUCUUUGUGUGAACAGACAUCUUCAUUCCUCUAGGCUGAAUGCCCAGGGGUGGGGUUGCGGCAUCCUAGGAUAAGCAUGUAGCUGCAGUCAUAGGAAACUGAGAAACCGGUUUCCAGAGCGCCUACCUCAUGUUGCACUCCAAGCCUCAACAUGUGAGGGUUCCAGUUGCUUCACGUCCUUGUCAGCACUUGGUAUUAUCAGUAUUUCCUCUUUUAGUCAUUCUGAUGAGCGUGGUGAUAUCUCCUCAAGGUUCUAAUUUGCAUUUCCCUAGCGGCUAACUAACGGUGUUGAACACGUUUUCAUAUGCUUGUUUGCCAUCUGUACAUCCUCUCUGGUGAAGGGUCUGUCCAAGACCUUUGCUGUUUGUAAAUUGUGUUGUCUUU
Molecule: long non-coding RNA, 1770 nt
Organism: Equus caballus (horse)
Lineage: Eukaryota; Metazoa; Chordata; Mammalia; Perissodactyla; Equidae
Source: Ensembl